GUGUAACAAUGCCCUUUGUCUCUGACCUAGGCAUCUCUUGUCUUCUUCCAGAACCCAUGACACUAUGGCAGGCCAACUUACUAGCUUUCAAGUAAGGUAACAUCUCAGACCACCACAGGUUUUGACAGGGGAAACCCUGAAGCACCACAGGAGUUGGAGGUUCCAUGUAUCUCUAAGUAGUUACAUACAAUGGGUCCAAAACAGAAGAAAGGGUUAGAACUCAAGAUUCCCGAGCCACAGAGCUGGUGACCGGAGGCGGACUCAGAGAGACCCUGGAUUCAGUGACAUACAGAGACAACAGGUACAGGAUCAGUUUGGGUUUUAAUUGACGGGCUCAGCACUAGAGGACAGACUUGACACACCCCCCCUCCAUGGGUGCGGUCCACCCACUGUUGCACAAUGUCCUUCAGUGUCUAAUUUACAGAUCCAGCUGUAUUUCCCCUUCCACCUGCAUCCCUGAAGUUCCUCCCACCUGAAAACUUCAUCUGACCCAAGAAAGCAAAGGGAAAAAACCUGAAGAGCCAGCUCAUGGUCUGGUUCACUGUUUAAUAGCCAGAAGCCAGAGCCUGUGUAUAGAAGUGGAUGCCCAGGAAGCACUUGUGAGCUGACUAAGAAGGUAAGACCACCACCCACUUCACUCAGGAAAGUGAGGCAGGACUCCAUGCAGCAUGAAUGAGUGCACAUGGAACAAGCUGGUUGUCAUUUAUAUUCAGCAAGGGACCUCCAUGGACAGGACAUGUGGGGAGCUGCUAUCAAACAUCAGAACUUCUGACACUGUGCACAGUCUAAUAUUCUGCCCCGUCUGUUGUGAUAUCUCACUACAGUAAUGAUUAUGAUGGUGAGCA
Molecule: long non-coding RNA, 845 nt
Organism: Mandrillus leucophaeus (drill)
Lineage: Eukaryota; Metazoa; Chordata; Mammalia; Primates; Cercopithecidae
Exons: 3
Source: RefSeq, a predicted model, not a curated record